RNAcentral lists this ribosomal RNA (440 nucleotides) under uncultured bacterium. Its description in RNAcentral is "partial 16S ribosomal RNA". It matches the Rfam family "Bacterial small subunit ribosomal RNA", at positions 338 to 795 of the family's 1533-position model. The record is from RNAcentral.
CCUACGGGUGACAGCAGUGAGGAAUAUUGGUCAAUGGGCGGAAGCCUGAACCAGCCAAGUAGCGUGCGGGAUGAAGUAUUUCGGUAUGUAAAGCUCUAUCAGCAGGGAAGAAAAUGACGGUACCUGACUAAGAAGCCCCGGCUAACUACGUGCCAGCAGCCGCGGUAAUACGUAGGGGGCAAGCGUUAUCCGGAUUUACUGGGUGUAAAGGGAGCGUAGACGGCGGUGCAAGCCAGAUGUGAAAGCCCGGGGCUCAACCCCGGGACUGCAUUUGGAACUGUGCUGCUAGAGUGUCGGAGAGGCAGGCGGAAUUCCUAGUGUAGCGGUGAAAUGCGUAGAUAUUAGGAGGAACACCAGUGGCGAAGGCGGCCUGCUGGACGAUGACUGACGUUGAGGCUCGAAAGCGUGGGGAGCAAACAGGAUUAGAUACCCUAGUAGUC